AGCCUGAACGCUGGCGGCGUGGCUAAGACAUGCAAGUCUAGGGGGUGUAGCAAUACAUCACCGGCGGACGGGUGCGUAACACGUGGGAAUAUACCUUUUGGUUCGGAACAACGCAGGGAAACUUGCGCUAAUACCGAAUGUGCCCUUACGGGGAAAGAUUUAUCGCCAAAGGAUUAGCCCGCGUCCGAUUAGCUAGUUGGUGAGGUAAUGGCUCACCAAGGCUCCGAUCGGUAGCUGUUCUGAGAGGAAGAUCAGCCACACUGGGACUGAGACACGGCCCAGACUCCUACGGGAGGCAGCAGUUGGGAAUCUUGGACAAUGGGGGAAACCCUGAUCCAGCCAUGCCGCGUGAGUGAUGAAGGCCUUCGGGUUGUAAAACUCUUUCGACGGGGACGAUAAUGACGGUACCGUAGAAGAAGCUCCGGCUAACUUCGCGCCAGCAGCCGC
This 447-nucleotide ribosomal RNA is filed under the name uncultured bacterium. RNAcentral's name for it is "SSU rRNA". It matches the Rfam family "Bacterial small subunit ribosomal RNA", at positions 26 to 518 of the family's 1533-position model. The record is from RNAcentral.